This is a small nuclear RNA of Oryctolagus cuniculus (rabbit), 73 nucleotides long. Its record names the gene U2. It matches the Rfam family "U2 spliceosomal RNA". From Rfam's summary of the family: U2 is a small nuclear RNA (snRNA) component of the spliceosome (involved in pre-mRNA splicing). Complementary binding between U2 snRNA (in an area lying towards the 5' end but 3' to hairpin I) and the branchpoint sequence (BPS) of the intron results the bulging out of an unpaired adenosine, on the BPS, which initiates a nucleophilic attack at the intronic 5' splice site, thus starting the first of two transesterification reactions that mediate splicing. Lineage: Eukaryota; Metazoa; Chordata; Mammalia; Lagomorpha; Leporidae. The record is from Ensembl.
AUCACUUCUCGGCCUUUUGGCUAAGAUCAAGUGUAGUAUCAAGUGAACUGGUCUUCCACAUUGUCGAACAAUU